This is a long non-coding RNA of Oncorhynchus keta (chum salmon), 164 nucleotides long. RefSeq lists it as uncharacterized. The record is from RefSeq and is a predicted model, not a curated record. Lineage: Eukaryota; Metazoa; Chordata; Actinopteri; Salmoniformes; Salmonidae. The transcript is spliced from 4 exons.
GUGUCUGGGCUAAUGUUGUUGUCUAGGUGGGUCUGGGCUAAUGUUGUUGUUGCUUAGGUGGGUCUGGGCUAAUGUUGUUGUUGUUGUUUAGGUGGGUCUGGGCUAAUGUUGUUGUUGUUUAGGUGGGUCUGGGCUAAUGUUGUUGUUGUCUAGGUGGGUCUGGG